UGUCUCAAGACUAAGCCAUGCAUGUCUAAGUAUAAACGCUUCUAUACUGUGAAACUGCGAAUGGCUCAUUAAAUCAGUUAUAGUUUAUUUGAUGGUUCCUUACUACUUGGAUAACCGUAGUAAUUCUAGAGCUAAUACAUGCAGAAAGUCCCGACUUCUUGGAAGGGAUGUAUUUAUUAGAUCCAAAACCAGCGCGAGUUUCCUUCGGGGGCUCGGUUGCAUGGUGAUUCAUGAUAACUGCUCGAAUCGCAUGGCCUUGCGCCGGCGAUGAUCCAUUCAAAUUUCUGCCCUAUCAACUUUCGAUGGCAAGGUAGUGGCUUGCCAUGGUGACAACGGGUGACGGAGAAUUAGGGUUCGAUUCCGGAGAGGGAGCCUGAGAAACGGCUACCACAUCCAAGGAAGGCAGCAGGCGCGCAAAUUACCCAAUCCCGACUCGGGGAGGUAGUGACAAUAAAUAACAAUGCUGGGCUAUCGUAGUCUGGCAAUUGGAAUGAGUACAAUCUAAACCCCUUAACGAGGAACAAUUGGAGGGCAAGUCUGGUGCCAGCAGCCGCGGUAAUUCCAGCUCCAAUAGCGUAUAUUAAAGUUGUUGCAGUUAAAAAGCUCGUAGUUGGAUUUCGGGGCAGCCCGGCUGGUCCGUCGCGAGGCGAGUACUGGUCGGCCGCCCUUCCUCUCGAAAGCCCCGACUGCUCUUCACUGCAGUGGUCGGGGAGUUCGGGACGUUUACUUUGAAAAAAUUAGAGUGUUCAAGGCAGGCCAUCGCCUGAAUACAUUAGCAUGGAAUAAUGGAAGAGGACCUCGGUCCUAUUUUGUUGGUUUCUAGGGCCGAAGUAAUGAUUAAGAGGGACAGUUGGGGGCAUUCGUAUUUAAUUGUCAGAGGUGAAAUUCUCGGAUUUAUGAAAGACGAACAACUGCGAAAGCAUUUGCCAAGGAUGUUUUCAUUAAUCAAGAACGAAAGUUAGGGGUUCGA
This 970-nucleotide ribosomal RNA is filed under the name Agelas citrina. Its description in RNAcentral is "SSU rRNA". It matches the Rfam family "Eukaryotic small subunit ribosomal RNA", at positions 33 to 1001 of the family's 1831-position model. Lineage: Eukaryota; Metazoa; Porifera; Demospongiae; Agelasida; Agelasidae. RNAcentral also lists the same sequence under 6 other names. The record is from RNAcentral.